AGUCGUAACAAGGUUUCUGUAGGUGAACCUGCAGAAGGAUCAUUAGUGAAGAUUUGGGCAGGCCAUACGGACGCCAAAAAGUGUCCCUGGCCGCCUACACCCACUAUACAUCCACAAACCCGUGUGCACUGUCUUGGAGAAAGGCUUCAGAGAAGUUUUUUGUGGCCUCUCUUGGGGUCUUUCUUCGCUACAAACUCGAAUGGUUAGUAUGAACGUGGAACUUGGUUGGACCGUCACUGGCCAACAAACUAUACACAACUUUCGACAACGGAUCUCUUGGUUCUCCCAUCGAUGAAGAACGCAGCGAAACGCGAUAGGUAAUGUGAAUUGCAGAAUUCCGUGAAUCAUCGAAUCUUUGAACGCACCUUGCGCUCUAUGGCAAUCCGUAGAGCAUGCCUGUUUGAGUGCCAUGAAAUCUCCCACCCCAAGCGGUUUUUAAAUGAAACGGCUUGGCGGAUGGGGUCUGGAUGGGUGCCUCUGCCUGCGCUACCUAGCACAGGCUCGCCCGAAAUGCAUGAGCGCCUUGAGACACUUUGCAUCCGCCUCUCUGUUUGGGAGGAGGCGGCCAAGCAGUGUUUUUCUCCUGGCAUGGCAUGAUACGUCAUUUGCUAUGUCGCCUAAAGGAGGAAUGUUUGGUUGUGUCUGCGUGUGCUUCGAACUUGCCUCUGUGGCACAUCCCAAUUUCACUUCUGGUCUCAAAUCAGGUAGGAUCACCCGCUGAACUUAAGCAUAUCAAUAAGUCG
This 743-nucleotide ribosomal RNA is filed under the name uncultured fungus. Its description in RNAcentral is "eukaryotic LSU rRNA". The stretch from base 257 to 410 matches the Rfam family "5.8S ribosomal RNA". Lineage: Eukaryota; Fungi. The record is from RNAcentral.